Molecule: ribosomal RNA, 503 nt
Filed under: uncultured bacterium
Lineage: Bacteria
Description: partial 16S ribosomal RNA
Rfam family: Bacterial small subunit ribosomal RNA
Source: RNAcentral
GAUGAACGCUAGCGGCAGGCUUAACACAUGCAAGUCGAGGGGCAUCAAGAUGUAGCAAUACAUUGUUGGCGACCGGCGCACGGGUGAGUAACACGUAUGCAACCUACCUACUACAGGGGAAUAACCCGGAGAAAUUCGGACUAAUACCGCAUAACACAGGGAUGCCGCAUGGCAAUAUUUGUUAAAGAUUUAUCGGUAGUAGAUGGGCAUGCGUUCCAUUAGCCAGUUGGUGAGGUAACGGCUCACCAAAGCAACGAUGGAUAGGGGAACUGAGAGGUUUAGCCCCCACACUGGAACUGAGACACGGACCAGACUCCUACGGGAGGCAGCAGUGAGGAAUAUUGGUCAAUGGACGAGAGUCUGAACCAGCCAAAUCGCGUGAAGGAAGACUGCCUUAUGGGUUGUAAACUUCUUUUAUAAGGGAAUAAAAAGAGUCACGUGUGAUUUAUUGCAUGUACCUUAUGAAUAAGCAUCGGCUAACUCCGUGCCAGCCGCCGCAGUAA